Molecule: ribosomal RNA, 1236 nt
Filed under: metagenome
Description: bacterial LSU rRNA
Rfam family: Bacterial large subunit ribosomal RNA
Source: RNAcentral
UGAGUACGAGAUGCUACGGCAUCGAAGCAGUCUAUGUCAUACUUCCAAGAAAAGCUUGCAAUGUCAUAAACAAAUAAUGCCUGUACCAUAACCGACUCAGGUGGGUAGGUAGAGUAUACUAAGGGGCGCGAGAUAACUCUCUCUAAGGAACUCGGCAAAAUGACUCCGCAACUUCGGGAGAAGGAGUGCCUUAUUUUUAUAAGGUUGCAAUAACAAGAUCCAAGCAACUGUUUACCAAAAACACAGGUCUCCGCUAAGUCGUAAGACGAUGUAUGGGGGCUGACGCCUGCCCAGUGCCAGAAGGUUAAAGAAGUUGGUUAGCAUUAGCGAAGCUGAUAACUGAAGCCCUGGUGAACGGCGGCCGUAACUAUAACGGUCCUAAGGUAGCGAAAUUCCUUGUCGGGUAAGUUCCGACCCGCACGAAAGGCGUAAUGAUUUGGAUACUGUCUCGGAGAGGGGCUCGGUGAAAUAGACUUGUCUGUGAAGAUGCGGACUACCUGCACCUGGACAGAAAGACCCUAUGAAGCUUUACUGUAACUUGAGAUUGAAAUUGGACUUUAUCUGCGCAGUAUAGGUGGGAGACGUUGUAAAUAUUCUUGCGGGAAUAUUGGAGUCAUCAGUGAGAUACCACUCUUAUAAUGUUAGAUUUCUAACUUUGUAUCAUUAUCUGGUCAAAGAACAGUUUCAGGCGGGCAGUUUGACUGGGGCGGUCGCUUCCCAAACGGUAACGGAGGCGCACAAAGGUUUCCUCUGAACGUGUAGAAAUCGUAUCUAGAGUGUAAAGGCAUAAGGAAGCUUGACUGUGAGACCUACAAGUCGAGCAGGGACGAAAGUCGGUCUUAGUGAUCUGACGGUGCUGAGUGGAAAGGCCGUCACUCAACGGAUAAAAGUUACUCUAGGAUAACAGGCUGAUCUCCCCCAAGAGUUCACAUCGACGGGGAGGUUUGGCACCUCGAUGUCGGCUCAUCGCAUCCUGGGGCGGUAGUACGUCCCAAGGGUUGGGCUGUUCGCCCAUGAAAGCGGUACGCGAGCUGGGUUCAGAACGUCGUGAGACAGUUCGGUCCAUAUCCGGUGUAGGCGUUAGAAUAUUGAGAGGAGCCUUCUUUAGUACGAGAGGACCGAGAAGGACAUACCUCUGGUGUACCAGUUAUCGUGCCAACGGUAAACGCUGGGUAGCCAUGUAUGGAGAGGAUAACCGCUGAAAGCAUCUAAGUGGGAAGCCCACCUCAAGAUAAG